GGGUUGCUAACUCAACGGUAGAGUACUCGGCUUUUAACAUCCGACUAGUUCCGGGUUCGAGUCCCGGGCAACCCAUACGGA
Molecule: transfer RNA, 81 nt
Filed under: Thaumatophyllum bipinnatifidum
Lineage: Eukaryota; Viridiplantae; Streptophyta; Magnoliopsida; Alismatales; Araceae
Also listed under: 1 other name
Description: tRNA-Lys
Rfam family: tRNA
About the family: Transfer RNA (tRNA) molecules are approximately 80 nucleotides in length. Their secondary structure includes four short double-helical elements and three loops (D, anti-codon, and T loops).
Source: RNAcentral